CAAUACAUUUUAUUACCCAGCAGGAUUCACAGGUGGGAUUAAUAAAGUUCAAUAUUUGCUCAACUAAAAGUUGUAAUCAUGGUGAAAAGAAAUGAAUUAGAACAAGCUCCUAUGGAUAGCUUACAUAAACAAUUUGGAGUUUUAACACUACUUCCACAUGAAAACUAUAUUAAGAAGAUACACUACAAAAGGCAAAGAGAUGAUCACGUGGAGAUGCUUGGGUCACAUGACCUUAGCUGGUAGAAAAGACGAUUUAUCAAGAAAGAAGACAUGGUGGUGCACAUCAGAGGCCACUGACUUUAUGAAGAAAUCUCUUCCCUGGUCACAUGGCAAGACAAGCGGCAUCAAUAUCAAUCAAUCAAUACUUGCUGAGAUCAGACAUAGCCACUUUCUUUCACUGCUGAAGAUGUCAGAUUCAUAAA
Long non-coding RNA from Hyaena hyaena (striped hyena), 422 nucleotides. RefSeq lists it as uncharacterized. The transcript is spliced from 3 exons. The record is from RefSeq and is a predicted model, not a curated record. NCBI's taxonomy places the organism in Eukaryota, Metazoa, Chordata, Mammalia, Carnivora, Hyaenidae.